GAUGAACGCUAGCGGCAGGCCUAACACAUGCAAGUCGAACGGUAACAUGAGUAGCAAUACUUGAUGACGAGUGGCGCACGGGUGCGUAACGCGUAUGCAACUUACCUCUAACUGGAGAAUAGCCUUCCGAAAGGAAGAAUAAUACUCCAUAAUAUUACGAUGUGGCAUCACAUUGUUCUUAAAGCUUCGGCGGUUAGAGAUGGGCAUGCGUCUGAUUAGCUUGUUGGUGAGGUAACGGCUCACCAAGGCAACGAUCAGUAGGGGGCCUGAGAGGGUUAUCCCCCACACUGGUACUGAGACACGGACCAGACUCCUACGGGAGGCAGCAGUGAGGAAUAUUGGUCAAUGGACGAAAGUCUGAACCAGCCAUGCCGCGUGCAGGAUGAAUGCCCUAUGGGUUGUAAACUGCUUUUAUAUAGGAAUAAACCCCUUUACGUGUAAAGGGCUGAAGGUACUAUAAGAAUAAGGACCGGCUAACUCCGUGCCAGCAGCCG
RNAcentral lists this ribosomal RNA (494 nucleotides) under uncultured bacterium. RNAcentral describes it as "bacterial SSU rRNA". It matches the Rfam family "Bacterial small subunit ribosomal RNA", at positions 28 to 517 of the family's 1533-position model. The record is from RNAcentral.